This 585-nucleotide ribosomal RNA is filed under the name uncultured bacterium. RNAcentral describes it as "partial 16S ribosomal RNA". It matches the Rfam family "Bacterial small subunit ribosomal RNA", at positions 355 to 932 of the family's 1533-position model. The record is from RNAcentral.
UGGGGAAUUUUGGACAAUGGGCGAAAGCCUGAUCCAGCAAUGCCGCGUGUGUGAAGAAGGCCUUCGGGUUGUAAAGCACUUUUGUCCGGAAAGAAAUCCUUGGCUCUAAUACAGUCGGGGGAUGACGGUACCGGAAGAAUAAGCACCGGCUAACUACGUGCCAGCAGCCGCGGUAAUACGUAGGGUGCAAGCGUUAAUCGGAAUUGCUGGGCGUAAAGCGUGCGCAGGCGGUUUGCUAAGACCGAUGUGAAAUCCCCGGGCUCAACCUGGGGAACUGCAUUGGUGACUGGCAGGCUAGAGUAUGGCAGAGGGGGGUAGAAUUCCACGUGUAGCAGUGAAAUGCGUAGAGAUGUGGAGGAAUACCGAUGGCGAAGGCAGCCCCCUGGGCCAAUACUGACGCUCAUGCACGAAAGCGUGGGGAGCAAACAGGAUUAGAUACCCUGGUAGUCCACGCCCUAAACGAUGUCAACUAGUUGUUGGGGAUUCAUUUUCCUUAGUAACGUAGCUAACGCGUGAAGUUGACCGCCUGGGGAGUACGGUCGCAAGAUUAAAACUCAAAGAAUUGACGGGGUCAUGCUGUUUCCU